AAGUCGUAACAAGGUUUCCGUAGGUGAACCUGCGGAAGGAUCAUUAUUGAAUAAGCUUGGUUGGGUUGUUGCUGGCUCUUCGGAGCAUGUGCACGCCUAACACCAACCUUUUUAACCACCUGUGCACCUUUUGUAGACCUGGAUAUCUCUCGAGGAAACUCGGUAUGAGGACUGCUGUGCGUCAAAGCCGGCUUUCCUUACAUUUCCGGUCUAUGUCUUUAUAUGCACCAUUAGUAUGUCUAUGAAUGUUAUUAUCGGACUUGACUGUCCAAUAAACCUUAUACAA
RNAcentral lists this unclassified non-coding RNA (286 nucleotides) under plant metagenome. Its description in RNAcentral is "partial contains small subunit ribosomal RNA and internal transcribed spacer 1". The stretch from base 1 to 46 matches the Rfam family "Eukaryotic small subunit ribosomal RNA", at positions 1786 to 1831 of the family's 1831-position model. The record is from RNAcentral.